UGCUAAAAACUGACAAUAAAGCUGACACUGACGUUGAUGUGUAGAAAAUUCUAAACGGUUGACACACUUUUAAACACCGCUGUAUGUGUGUCUGUUUCUGCCUUUAGGAGCCCCAUAACAAGCCAGAGACUGAGAGAGCUGAGCAGCACAGAGCUGAGUGUGUGUGUGUGUGUGUGUGUGUGUGUGUGUGCAUCUUUAAAAAUAAAAGAAGUUUGCUGAAAAGCGAAAGGGAAAUAAAGAGAAUAAAGAGUCUUGUGAGUUGUAAGCCUGCCUCCCAUUUCCUCAUGUCCUUCUGAACCAAAAAGGGAAUUGUUACUCUGAUGAUGAAACCCAGGAAUUGAGGAGGAUUGGCGGUCAUGGAGUCCUCGCCAGAUGGGACCGCAGCACGACCCAGAGGCAUUUGUUGAGUUGUUUGAGUGUGCAGCAGAAGCUUGGAGCUGGCCAGAGUCACAGUGGGCAGUUCAGCUGCUGCUGCUACUGUCGGGGGAAGGCCACACCCACAAACAGCACCGUCAGCUCACUGCUCAUUCAGAGAGCUCUGCCACCGAUUAGCAUUCACCCAGCAGCACCGGGACACCUGCUGAAGAUGGCUGCUGGCAGAGGAGCACGGCGCUGUGGAUGUGUUGGAGCAGUUCUUCUCCCAACUACUGCAGGGGACAGCCGAGUGGGUCCAGUACCACUGUCCGGUGUCGCUAGAUGAGGAGAUCCAGUGGGCGGAGCUCCAUUUGACGCGCUCUCGUCUGACCUCGCUGAGCUGAAUGAGGAGCUCAAGAGGUUUCAGAAGCUGCAGCCUUCGUCCACGACCUGCUGCAGGGUGUCAGAAUCUUUCCAAGCCAACAGAGGACUGUUGUGGUUACAGGAAGGAUAAUGGGUCUGAGAAGUUCAUUAAAAUGCCCGUCUUUGUAGCACACAUUUCAUCACAGCCGCCUAGUUAACAAUCCGUGAACUUUGUGUGCUAAAUAAGAAUUUGACAGGCUUAACUUGUUAGUUUGCUACACGCCUAAUUAAUAUCGCUUUAACAAACUUACGUAGCUCGCUUAAAUCUAUUGAUCUAGAUCGAGAAACUAGCUAGCUAACACUAAAUAGCUUAGAAUAACACAUUCUUACUGAGGAGUUGCAUAGAGUAGACAUGUUUCUCUACCUUAAAGUUAACUAGCUUAACUGUUUCAGCUAACAGAUGAGUUCAUGGCAUUUGUUAUGGCACUUUUUGAUUUUCAAUGCCAUGCCAUCCUUGAAGUUCAUAAAACAUUACAUCUUGAACAUUUAUGCCUAGUCUCUUCAGGUUUUUCUGCAACCAGGUUGGCCAUGCACGUCUUUUGGUUUACAAACAAUGAAGGGGUUUAUUUAAGACUGUAGUAAACAAUCUGGAACACAGCCAUACUUACACUGGGUUUUUAAAUAAUAAUAAUAAUUAUUUUUUAUAAUGACUGGCAGUAGAUUGACUUAAAUGAGGACUCUUAGUGAUGGCAUUUGACCAAUCUUUGACCAAUCCAAGUAUUUUUACUAGCGCCAUCCUAUUAGUCCCUAAUUGCUUCUCUUGGUACUCUGCAAUAAGAGGAAUUGAAUUUAACACUUAACAAUGUGGUGUUAUGGAUUUCUCACCAUGCAUUACCAGAAUGUCUGGUGGAACAGCACUGAUAGAGACCUAUGCUGUGUGUGAAACCACUCACUCGUUCACUCUUCCCUAUAUAGCGAAAGACAUUUGAGUCCACUAUAUGGGGAAGAAGUGAAGGAAAAUGAGUGGCGAAUUCGGACGCUGAUAAUGCGUACAUAAUGAUAACUCUGUCUCGGACAUUAUGGAUUGUAUUAAAACAAUAAAGUUUAUUUUCUCACGGUUCAUUUGUCAAGUUUAUUGUAUUAGUUGAUAAAGAGAACAAAAACAAAUGCUUG
Molecule: long non-coding RNA, 1890 nt
Organism: Ictalurus punctatus (channel catfish)
Lineage: Eukaryota; Metazoa; Chordata; Actinopteri; Siluriformes; Ictaluridae
Source: Ensembl